AAAUUGAAGAGUUUGAUCAUGGCUCAGAUUGAACGCUGGCGGCAGGCUUAACACAUGCAAGUCGAACGGUAACAGGAAUCAGCUUGCUGAUUCGCUGACGAGUGGCGGACGGGUGAGUAAUGUCUGGGAAACUGCCUGAUGGAGGGGGAUAACUACUGGAAACGGUAGCUAAUACCGCAUAACGUCGCAAGACCAAAGAGGGGGACCUUCGGGCCUCUUGCCAUCGGAUGUGCCCAGAUGGGAUUAGCUAGUAGGUGGGGUAA
This 263-nucleotide ribosomal RNA is filed under the name Escherichia coli. RNAcentral describes it as "partial 16S ribosomal RNA". It matches the Rfam family "Bacterial small subunit ribosomal RNA", at positions 1 to 260 of the family's 1533-position model. The record is from RNAcentral. Lineage: Bacteria; Pseudomonadati; Pseudomonadota; Gammaproteobacteria; Enterobacterales; Enterobacteriaceae.